RNAcentral lists this ribosomal RNA (468 nucleotides) under uncultured bacterium. RNAcentral's name for it is "partial 16S ribosomal RNA". It matches the Rfam family "Bacterial small subunit ribosomal RNA", at positions 28 to 507 of the family's 1533-position model. The record is from RNAcentral.
GACGAACGCUGGCGGCGUGCUUAACACAUGCAAGUCGAACGGAAAGGCCCUGCUUUUGUGGGGUGCUCGUGUGGCGAACGGGUGAGUAACACGUGAGUAACCUGCCCUUGACUUUGUGAUAACUUCAGGAAACUGGGGCUAAUACCGGAUAGGAGCUCCUGCUGCAUGGUGGGGGUUGGAAAGUUGCGGCGGUUGGGGAUGGACUCGCGGCUUAUCAGCUUGUUGGUGGGGUAGUUGCUUACCAGGGGUUUGACGGGUAGCCGGCCUGAGAGGGUGACCGGGCACAUUGGGCCUGAGAGAGGGAGCAGACGCCAACGGGAGGCAGCGGGGGGAAACAUUGCACAAUGGGCGGAAGCGUGAGACAGAGACGCCGCGUGCGGAAUGACGGCCUUUGGGUUGUAAACAGCUUUCGACUGUGACGAAGAGUGAGUGACGGUAAUGGGUAAAGAAGCACCGGCUAACUACGUG